GCCUGGCUGGCUCAGUCGGUGGAGCAUGUGACUCUUGAUCUCGGGGUUAUGGGUUCAAGCCCCACACUGGGUG
Molecule: transfer RNA, 73 nt
Organism: Felis catus (domestic cat)
Lineage: Eukaryota; Metazoa; Chordata; Mammalia; Carnivora; Felidae
Rfam family: tRNA
About the family: Transfer RNA (tRNA) molecules are approximately 80 nucleotides in length.
Source: Rfam